Molecule: ribosomal RNA, 495 nt
Filed under: uncultured bacterium
Lineage: Bacteria
Description: partial 16S ribosomal RNA
Rfam family: Bacterial small subunit ribosomal RNA
Source: RNAcentral
UGAACGCUGGCGGCGUGCCUAAUACGUGCAAGUCGAGCGAACGGACGAGAAGCUUGCUUCUCUGAUGUUAGCGGCGGACGGGUGAGUAACACGUGGAUAACCUACCUAUAAGACUGGGAUAACUUCGGGAAACCGGAGCUAAUACCGGAUAAUAUUUUGAACCGCAUGGUUCAAAAGUGAAAGACGGUCUUGCUGUCACUUAUAGAUGGAUCCGCGCUGCAUUAGCUAGUUGGUAAGGUAACGGCUUACCAAGGCAACGAUGCAUAGCCGACCUGAGAGGGUGAUCGGCCACACUGGAACUGAGACACGGUCCAGACUCCUACGGGAGGCAGCAGUAGGGAAUCUUCCGCAAUGGGCGAAAGCCUGACGGAGCAACGCCGCGUGAGUGAUGAAGGUCUUCGGAUCGUAAAACUCUGUUAUUAGGGAAGAACAUAUGUGUAAGUAACUGUGCACAUCUUGACGGUACCUAAUCAGAAAGCCACGGCUAACUACGUG